UACACUUCAGACUAUGUUGAAGAAUAUCAUAGGGCACGAAGGCUAGAGUAAGAAAAUUCCCGACUGUCCAACGAGAAGCGUGAACUGGAGAGGCAACUGGCGGAAAAGACGAGGACUGCUCAGGUGUCCUCGACUCAGGUCUUGACACUGGGGCACAAGGUGCGAGAGCUGGAGCGCCAAAACACCGGACUGUCCGGUGAGCUGUCCAAGCAAACGGAGGACACCCGGAAGGCGGGCCUGCUCUUCAUGAAUGCUGCCGAUAGGUACCAAGAGGAAGCUAAGAAGCAAAUUAGGGCAAAGGCAGAGGAACUGGAGAACACGAGGAAGGCAGGUCUGAUGCUAAUGAACACCGCUGAUACAUACCAAGAAGCGGCAAUGAAGCAAAUUAAGGAGAAGUCGGGGGAGCUGGAGGAUGCGAGGAAGGCGGUUUUGGCGCUCAUGAAAGCAGCAGAUGCGUACCAGGAAGAAGCGAAGAAGAAAAUUAAGGAUAAGGUGCAGGAGCUGAAGGUCAUGGGGGCACAGAAGGCAGAGCUGGAUGCGAGGGUAGAAUCUUUGGAGUCGAGGCUCAAGGCAGCUCUAGCAAAGAACUUGGAGUUGGAGGAUGAUUAUGGUAAGGUGAAGGCUGAAAAUGAUAACCUUCGGUUAGAGGUUGAGAAAGAUGCAUCUGCAAAGGCAUUUGAUGCUGAGAAGGAAGAAAUCUUGACGGAAUUGGAGGACCUUAAGAUGAAGGUGGAGGUAACUCAAGCCAACAAGGAUUUGAUGGAGGGUGAAAAUGAUAAACUUCAAUUGAACGCUUUCACAGGAAUAUAG
This 810-nucleotide ribosomal RNA is filed under the name Triticum aestivum (bread wheat). RNAcentral describes it as "partial small subunit ribosomal RNA". Lineage: Eukaryota; Viridiplantae; Streptophyta; Magnoliopsida; Poales; Poaceae. The record is from RNAcentral.